UACGGGGGGGGCAAGCGUUGUUCGGAAUUACUGGGCGUAAAGGGCUCGUAGGUGGCCAACUAAGUCAGACGUGAAAUCCCUCGGCUUAACCGGGGAACUGCGUCUGAUACUGGAUGGCUUGAGUUUGGGAGAGGGACGCGGAAUUCCAGGUGUAGCGGUGAAAUGCGUAGAUAUCUGGAGGAACACCGGUGGCGAAGGCGGCGUCCUGGACCAACACUGACACUGAUGCACGAAAGCUGGGGGAGCAAACAGG
This 253-nucleotide ribosomal RNA is filed under the name uncultured bacterium. RNAcentral describes it as "partial 16S ribosomal RNA". It matches the Rfam family "Bacterial small subunit ribosomal RNA", at positions 524 to 776 of the family's 1533-position model. The record is from RNAcentral.